RNAcentral lists this ribosomal RNA (910 nucleotides) under uncultured bacterium. RNAcentral describes it as "bacterial SSU rRNA". It matches the Rfam family "Bacterial small subunit ribosomal RNA", at positions 8 to 912 of the family's 1533-position model. The record is from RNAcentral.
AGAGUUUGAUCAUGGCUCAGAACGAACGCUGGCGGCGCGCCUAAUACAUGCAAGUCGAGCGAGAAGACGUAGCAAUACGUUUGUAAAGCGGCGAACGGGUGAGGAAUACAUGGGUAACCUACCCUCGAGUGGGGAAUAACUAGCCGAAAGGUUAGCUAAUACCGCGUACGCUCCUUGGACUUCGGUUCAGGGAGGAAAGCGAUACCGUGGGUAUCGCGCUCUUGGAUGGGCUCAUGUCCUAUCAGCUUGUUGGUGAGGUAACGGCUCACCAAGGCUUCGACGGGUAGCUGGUCUGAGAGGACGAUCAGCCACACUGGCACUGCGACACGGGCCAGACUCCUACGGGAGGCAGCAGUAAGGAAUAUUGCGCAAUGGGCGAAAGCCUGACGCAGCGACGCCGCGUGGGGGAUGAAGGUCUUCGGAUUGUAAACCCCUUUCGGGAGGGAAGAUGGAAUGGGGUAACCCAUUCGGACGGUACCUCCAGAAGCAGCCACGGCUAACUUCGUGCCAGCAGCCGCGGUAAUACGAAGGUGGCAAGCGUUGUUCGGAUUUACUGGGCGUACAGGGAGCGUAGGCGGUUCGGUAAGCCCUUUGUGAAAUCUCCAGGCUUAACCUGGAAAAGUCGGAGGGGACUGCCGGGCUAGAGGACGGGAGAGGAGCGCGGAAUUCCCGGCGUAGCGGUGAAAUGCGUAGAGAUCGGGAGGAAGGCCGGUGGCGAAGGCGGCGCUCUGGAACGUUUCUGACGCUGAGGCUCGAAAGCGUGGGGAGCAAACAGGAUUAGAUACCCUGGUAGUCCACGCCUUAAACUAUGAAUACUAAGUGUCGGCGGGUUACCGCCGGUGCCGCAGCUAACGCAUUAAGUAUUCUGCCUGGGAAGUACGGGCCGCAAGGUUGAAACUCAAAGGAAUUG